This 74-nucleotide transfer RNA is filed under the name Acidobacteriota bacterium. Its description in RNAcentral is "tRNA-Ile". It matches the Rfam family "tRNA". From Rfam's summary of the family: Transfer RNA (tRNA) molecules are approximately 80 nucleotides in length. Their secondary structure includes four short double-helical elements and three loops (D, anti-codon, and T loops). The record is from RNAcentral. RNAcentral also lists the same sequence under 1 other name. Lineage: Bacteria; Pseudomonadati; Acidobacteriota.
GCCCCUGUAGCUCAAUUGGUUAGAGCACCGGACUCAUAAUCCGUUGGUUGUAGGUUCAAGUCCUACCGGGGGCA